UACGUAGGGUGCGAGCGUUAAUCGGAAUUACUGGGCGUAAAGUGUGCGCAGGUGGCUUCGCAAGUCGAGUGUGAAAUCCCCGGGCUUAACCUGGGAAUUGCGCUCGAAACUACGGAGCUGGAGUGUGGCAGAGGGAGGUGGAAUUCCACGUGUAGCGGUGAAAUGCGUAGAGAUCGGGAGGAACACCAGUGGCGAAGGCGGCCUUCUGGACCAGUACUGACGCUGAGGUGCGAAAGCGUGGGGAGCAAACAGG
Molecule: ribosomal RNA, 253 nt
Filed under: uncultured bacterium
Lineage: Bacteria
Description: partial 16S ribosomal RNA
Rfam family: Bacterial small subunit ribosomal RNA
Source: RNAcentral